UUCACAAUGUAAGUCAUUCUAGCAUUUCCCACAUUCAUAUUGAUGUUAAUGGAUCUAGACAUAUAUCCAUCUAGAUUCAUUACCAUCAAUAUGAAUGUGGGAAAUGCUAGAAUGACUUACAUUGUGAAAC
RNAcentral lists this unclassified non-coding RNA (130 nucleotides) under Oryza sativa (Asian cultivated rice). RNAcentral describes it as "partial microRNA MIR472a-35-as precursor". Lineage: Eukaryota; Viridiplantae; Streptophyta; Magnoliopsida; Poales; Poaceae. The record is from RNAcentral.